CUUUUAAAGAAAACCCAGGAGAAAAUUUUUGAGAACUUGAGGCAAGAAGUGGAGACUUCCAGGAAACAUGACGGUGUUAACUGGACAUUUUUUAAAACCUCCUCCCUGAAACCUACAAAAACCAACAAAGGAACUAAUGAUUAAAAUGAAAACCAAACUGAAACUUAGAGACAGCCUUAACCUUUCCCUAUGAAUGCCAAGGAAUACUUGCCAGAUAGAAUACAACUUGAACCAAAAUGAAAUAUGAUGCUGGAGUUUGGCCACAAUUCCUGUGCUUCGGAACCAACGCAGUGCUGUGGGCCCAAGAGCCUUGCUAACACAAACCCCCCGACCCCAAGCUGAGAUCUGGCGAUGUGGUUGGACUCGGAAUGAGAAAGGUUCCUCCUGCACCACAGAUCAGCUCCAGCGGAGAGGCCUCGUGGGACCAGGUACUGCCAAUGUUAAUGAGUCCCAGCUUUUUUAUGGUGAAACAAAGGGAUUCGAUUGGAAAUAAAGCAAAUUUCUUAUCAAAGAAGAAAAUUAAAGGUAGAGAAAAGUGUGUGCUGAUACCACCCCCAACCCAUCCCUAAUCAAAUCUCAGGGCUGCCUUGAUCUUACCAUGAGCAUCAUGAAUGAGGUUUUUGAAUGCUUUUAAAUACACAAAUGAGACUCACGUCAAAUCAACGGAAUCAGAAUCUACAAAAGCGAGGCCCAGACAACAGUAGUUGAAAAAACUCCCCAUUAUGAGAUAACAUGUUUAGCCUAAUCAAUAGGCAAAAUUUAAAAGUAUUUAUAACAACCCAAUGUUGGCAGAGGUAAAAAGAAAUAAACAUGUUUAUAGGAAUUCUGAAGAAAAUGGUCAUGGGGUAAGAAACUUUUAUUUUAUAUAUUUAUAUAUAUUUUUAUAUAUUUAUAUAUAUUUAUAUUUAUAUAUAUGUGUGUUUUUUUUUAGAUGGAGUCCCCAGCUCCCAGGCUCAAGGGAUUCUCUUGCAUCAGCCUCCUGAGUAGCUAGGAUUACUGGCACACACCACCAUGCCUGGCUAAUUUUUUUGUAUUUUUAGUAGAGAUGGGGUUUUGUAUUUAAGAGGCAGAAUCUCACUGUCUCCCAGGCAGGAGUGCAAUGAUGCAAUCAUAACUCACUGCAGCCUCAAACUCCUGAGCUCAAGUGAUCCUCCCACCUCAGCAUCCCAAAGUGCCGGGGUUAUAGGUGUGCACCACCAUGCCUAACUAAUUUUUUAAUCUUUUUCUGGAGACAGUGUCUCACUAUGUUGCCCAGGCACUGGUCUCAAAUGCCUGGCCUCACGUGACCCUUGAGCCUUGGCCUCCCAAAGUGCUAGGAUUAUAGGUGUGAGCCACUACCACGCCUAGCCUUGGAUCACAAAUUUUCACGUGGAGUGAUAUCCACUAGUGUAACACUCUGGAUCUCUAUAUUUCCUCGCUCACUUCUCUGAUUAGUAAAUGGAGAAAGGAAAAGGACUGUUAGAUACAAUCCUCUUGUUCUCUCUCCUCAGCUCUCCCUUCCCGCAGAGAGCACUGACUUUGACAUUGUACUUAGCCAUCACUCCCUGUGGCUGGCCAAGUGGUACAUGUCCUAAUUCUGGGUGCAACAUACCAGAACUGGCACUGUGAUCCCCGUCAACCUGACCCCAACUUCGGAGAGAGAAGAAAAGCGCAAUUUGUGAAUUCCCCUCAAGCCCAUCGGGGCAAAGUCAACAAAGAUAGAUGUAAAAAUAACAUUGGCGGCCAGGCGCGGUGGCUCACACCUGUAAUUCCAGCACUUUGGGAGGCGGAGGCAAGCAGAUCACGAGGUUAGGAGUUCGAGACAAGCGUGGCCAACAUGGUGAAACUCC
This 1829-nucleotide long non-coding RNA is filed under the name Homo sapiens (human). RNAcentral's name for it is "HSALNT0124190". Lineage: Eukaryota; Metazoa; Chordata; Mammalia; Primates; Hominidae. The record is from RNAcentral.